Molecule: ribosomal RNA, 492 nt
Filed under: uncultured bacterium
Lineage: Bacteria
Description: partial 16S ribosomal RNA
Rfam family: Bacterial small subunit ribosomal RNA
Source: RNAcentral
AGUGAACGCUGGCGGUAGGCCUAACACAUGCAAGUCGAACGGCAGCACAGUAAGAGCUUGCUCUUACGGGUGGCGAGUGGCGGGCGGGUGAGGAAUACAUCGGAAUCUACUUUUUCGGGGGGGAUAACGUGGGGAAACUUACGCUAAUACCGCAUACGACCUACGGGUGAAAGCAGGGGAUCUUCGGACCUUGCGCGAUUGAAUGAGCCGAUGUCGGAUUAGCUAGUUGGCGGGGUAAAGGCACACCAAGGCGACGAUCCGUAGCCGGUCUGAGAGGAUGAUCAGCCACACUGGAACUGAGACACGGUCCAGACUCCUACGGGAGGCAGCAGUGGGGAAUAUUGGACAAUGGGCGCAAGCCUGAUCCAGCCAUACCGCGUGGGUGAAGAAGGCCUUCGGGUUGUAAAGCCCUUUUGUUGGGAAAGAACAGCAGCAGGUUAAUCCCCCGCUGUUCUGACGGUACCCAAAGAAUAAGCACCGGCUAACUUCGUG